This is a non-coding RNA of Pelobates cultripes (western spadefoot toad), 246 nucleotides long. The record is from the annotation of a GenBank genome assembly. NCBI's taxonomy places the organism in Eukaryota, Metazoa, Chordata, Amphibia, Anura, Pelobatidae.
AAAGUUCUAUCAAGGAUACUGCAAAUAAUGACACUGCCUCCAGGUGAAUGAAGCACCACGAGGUGAAGACGGAUCCUGGGAAGAAGAUAGACACCCUCAAGAGAUCUCUUCAGUUAAAGGACCACUCUAGGCACCCAGACCACUUCAGCUUAAUGAAGUGGUCUGGGUGCCUGGUGCAGCUAGGGUUAACCCAUUUUUUAAUAAACAUAGCAGUUUCAGAGAAACUGCUAUGUUUAUGAAUGGGUU